RNAcentral lists this ribosomal RNA (718 nucleotides) under uncultured bacterium. RNAcentral describes it as "bacterial SSU rRNA". It matches the Rfam family "Bacterial small subunit ribosomal RNA", at positions 9 to 714 of the family's 1533-position model. The record is from RNAcentral.
GAGUUUGAUCCUGGCUCAGAACGAACGCUGGCGGCGUGCUUAACACAUGCAAGUCAGGGAGAAAGUCUCUUCGGGGAUGAUUAAACCGGCGCACGGGUGAGUAACACGUGAGUGACCUGCCUUUUAGACUGGAACAACUUACCGAAAGGUGAGCUAAUGCCGGAUGAGUUAUAUAAGUGCAUGUUUAUAUAGGAAAAGUUGGGGAGACCUGACGCUGAAAGAUGGACUCACGUCCCAUUAGCUAGUUGGUAGGGUAAUGGCCUACCAAGGCGACGAUGGGUAGCCGGCCUGAGAGGGUGGCCGGCCACACUGGGACUGAGACACGGCCCAGACUCCUACGGGAGGCAGCAGUGGGGAAUUUUGCGCAAUGCUCGUAAGAGUGACGCAGCGACGCCGCGUGAAUGACGAAGGCCUUCGGGUCGUAAAGUUCUUUCGACAGGGAAGAAAAUGCCUAUAAGUAACUGUGUAUGUAUUGACGGUACCUGUAUAAGCAGCCCCGGCUAACUCCGUGCCAGCAGCCGCGGUAAUACGGAGGGGGCGAGCGUUGUUCGGAGUGACUGGGCGUAAAGAGCACGUAGGCGGUGUUGUAAGUCAUUAGUCAAAGACUAGAGCUCAACUUUAGUAAGGCUAGUGAUACUAUAAUACUAGAGUAUCAGAGAGGAUUGCAGAAUUCCUGGUGUAGCGGUGAAAUGCGUAGAUAUCAGGAGGAAUACCGUUA